Molecule: long non-coding RNA, 631 nt
Organism: Octopus sinensis (East Asian common octopus)
Lineage: Eukaryota; Metazoa; Mollusca; Cephalopoda; Octopoda; Octopodidae
Exons: 2
Source: RefSeq, a predicted model, not a curated record
UUAGACAGCUACAUUCUUAUUAUUUUUCUAGAAGAUUCAGUAAAUAAACUAACCAUUCUAUGAAGAAAGAAUGAUCAGUAUAUUCACUUGCCUACUUGCCUGUGUGUGCAUUAGUUUGUGUUGCUUUUGUCUCUAACUCGUUAUAUUUUAUUUAAUCUUUUUUAUAUAGUCUUCAUCGUCACGGUCAGCAAAUAUGCUGCUUUCGCCAUUUUUCUUAAGCAUAGAGUAAAACAACUGUGAAUCACUACAUCAAGAUGGUGAAGAUGAUAUCUUUAUUAAUACUUUUAUAUACGGUUCCUUGAUAGGAAAAAUAUACUGGAUCAAGAAUUUCGUGUCUGCAGUAGCUAAUAUGCUACCAUAGUCAUCAUUUUCAGGAGCAAUGUUCUGAGUCUUCGAUUGUCUUGAAAGGUCUCCUCCAUCGGAACGCGAAGUAGCCGGCUCCAGAUCCGAGUGCAACAGCAAUACAAAGCCAUGCAUUAUAUGUCAUGAAGAUAAGCAUAAGAAAAUAACUGAUCGUCAUCUGUACAAUAUGAAGCAGGGUCUGGACAAGGUGAGGAAAAACGAAUGCGGAAGGUCUGCGAAAGAAUCAGAUACAAACAGAGUAGUAAAUAAAUGACUUCAAACAAAUUUA